GGAUUAGAAACCCGGGUAGUCCACGCCGUAAACGAUGGGCACUAGGUGUGGGAGGUGUCGACUCCUCCCGUGCCGUAGCUAACGCACUAAGUGCCCCGCCUGGGGAGUACGGCCGCAAGGCUAAAACUCAAAGGAAUUGACGGGGGCCCGCACAAGCGGCGGAGCAUGUGGAUUAAUUCGAUGCAACGCGAAGAACCUUACCUGGGUUUGACAUACACCGGAAACAUCUGGAGACAGGUGCCCCGCAAGGUCGGUGUACAGGUGGUGCAUGGUUGUCGUCAGCUCGUGCCGUGAGAUGUUGGGUUAAGUCCCGCAACGAGCGCAACCCUCGUUCUAUGUUGCCAGCGGGUCGUGCCGGGGACUCAUAGGAGACUGCCGGGGUCAACUCGGAGGA
RNAcentral lists this ribosomal RNA (394 nucleotides) under uncultured bacterium. RNAcentral's name for it is "bacterial SSU rRNA". It matches the Rfam family "Bacterial small subunit ribosomal RNA", at positions 775 to 1170 of the family's 1533-position model. The record is from RNAcentral.